CCAACGGCCUUUUUAAAGGCCACCAAAUCUUUUUAAACACUUUUUU
This is a non-coding RNA of Xiphophorus maculatus (southern platyfish), 46 nucleotides long. The record is from Rfam. NCBI's taxonomy places the organism in Eukaryota, Metazoa, Chordata, Actinopteri, Cyprinodontiformes, Poeciliidae.